This 406-nucleotide ribosomal RNA is filed under the name uncultured bacterium. RNAcentral describes it as "partial 16S ribosomal RNA". It matches the Rfam family "Bacterial small subunit ribosomal RNA", at positions 30 to 526 of the family's 1533-position model. The record is from RNAcentral.
AUUGAACGCUGGCGGCAGGCCUAACACAUGCAAGUCGAACGAGUGGCGGACGGGUGGGUAAUGUCUGGAAAACUGCCUGAUGGAGGGGGAUAACUACUGGAAACGGUAGCAAAUACCGCAUACCAUCGGAUGUGCCCCGAUGGGUUUAGCUAGUAGGGGGGGUAAAGGCUCUCCUAGGGGAAGAUCCCUAGCUGGUCUGAGAGGAUGACCAGCCACACUGGAACUGAGACACGGUCCAGACUCCUACGGGAGGCAGCAGUGGGGAAUAUUGCACAAUGGGCGCAAGCCUGAUGCAGCCAUGCCGCGUGUGUGAAGAAGGCCUUCGGGUUGUAAAGUUCUUUCAGCGGGGAGGCGGUACCCGCAGAAGAAGCACCGGCUAACUCCGUGCCAGCAGCCGCGGUAAUAC